CCUACGGGUGGCUGCAGUGAGGAAUAUUGGUCAAUGGACGAGAGUCUGAACCAGCCAAGUAGCGUGAAGGAUGACUGCCCUAUGGGUUGUAAACUUCUUUUAUAUGGGAAUAAAAUGUUCCACGUGUGGGAUUUUGUAUGUACCAUAUGAAUAAGGAUCGGCUAACUCCGUGCCAGCAGCCGCGGUAAUACGGAGGAUCCGAGCGUUAUCCGGAUUUAUUGGGUUUAAAGGGAGCGUAGGUGGAUGGUUAAGUCAGUUGUGAAAGUUUGCGGCUCAACCCUAAAAUUGCAGUUGAAACUGGCAGUCUUGAGUACGGUAGAGGUGGGCGGAAUGCGUGGUGUAGCGGUGAAAUGCUUAGAUAUCACGAAGAACUCCGAUUGCGAAGGCAGUUCACUGGACUGCAACUGACACUGAGGCUCGAAAGUGUGGGUAUCAAACAGGAUUAGAUACCCUAGUAGUC
This 460-nucleotide ribosomal RNA is filed under the name uncultured bacterium. RNAcentral describes it as "partial 16S ribosomal RNA". It matches the Rfam family "Bacterial small subunit ribosomal RNA", at positions 338 to 795 of the family's 1533-position model. The record is from RNAcentral.